UACAGAGGUGGCAAGCGUUGUUCGGAAUUACUGGGCGUAAAGGGCGCGUAGGCGGCCUUCUAAGUCGGACGUGAAAGCCCCAGGCUUAACCUGGGAACUGCGUCCGAUACUGGGAGGCUUGGAUUCGGGAGAGGGAUGUGGAAUUCCAGGUGUAGCGGUGAAAUGCGUAGAUAUCUGGAGGAACACCGGUGGCGAAGGCGGCAUCCUGGACCGAGAUCGACGCUGAGGCGCGAAAGCUAGGGGAGCAAACGGG
RNAcentral lists this ribosomal RNA (253 nucleotides) under uncultured bacterium. Its description in RNAcentral is "partial 16S ribosomal RNA". It matches the Rfam family "Bacterial small subunit ribosomal RNA", at positions 524 to 776 of the family's 1533-position model. The record is from RNAcentral. RNAcentral also lists the same sequence under 2 other names.